CUACCAAAAACAUGGCGGAUUUCGUUGGAUUUCGGCCUUUGCUGACGCCAGAAUGACGCCACUGGUCCCAAAUCCUCGUGGUAAUUACCACUGAGCAAGGCUCAUUUUGAGCCCGCCACCACUUUCACAUCCCCCUGAUUUUCGCAAAAAUAUUUUAGCUUUUGUUUUGGAGUUUGACUCGGUUUUUGCCUUCUCUUCGGCAUUUUAACAUUUGUUUCGAGUUGCACAAGUGGCAAGAAUCAUCCUGGCUAGUGAAGACAGGGAACAACGAAUAUUUAAACCUCAAGAAAUUUCGUAAAGACGUUAUUUGUAAAGGUAAAAAUAUACUGUUUAUAUGUUCAAUAGUAUAAAUUUGUGAUCGAGCACUGCCAGUUCUAGUUCUAAACAAAGCGAAAUAAACAGCUUAUUGUGUAGUGAACAAUUUUAGCAACUGAUGUAUACAAUUAGGUUAGUCUUCCUCGAAAGAAAAUGGUUGAAAUUUCAGAUUUUAGUUUCAUUUGUUUAUAUUUCAAAUUUUACUAUAUAAAAUGCCAGUUGCAUGACCACCGUCUGCUUCAUGAUACUACUUUAAUAGGAAAAUUAAAGUGCUUUCUAUUAAUAUAUCAUGGCUUUGAAUGAUUUAAUCUACGUAGUACAUAUUUAACUGGCCACUGAUGACUAUGAAAGUCUAUAUCGAGGUCUAUAUCAGGAUUAAAGAUUUGGCAGUCAAUUGUACCAACUUCUGUUGAAGCUAGGUUUAUAUAUAAGAUCAGGUUUAGAGGCCUGUAACAUUUUCUCUAGAAAUUGAAUGAUAGUAAAAUCAAUUUCAUAUUAAUUAACCCAUUGAGCCGCAAUGCGCCCUACCUAUUUUUUAUUUGUCGAAUGCCAUAUGAUUUUGCUCGGUUUGCUCGAUUUUUAGUUGUCGAAUGCCAUAUGAUUUUGCUAGGUUCAGCAGCUGCAGCUUAAUGGUUAAGAACAUGAAACAUUUUUGAUAAUAUUUGAUGUUGCUAAUAAUGCAUUUUUGUAGGAAAAUAUCUUACACAGUGGUUGUUUGCCAGUGACACCAAACCCCAAUAUUUACAUCCUAGCCCACCUGAGGUAGCCUACCUUGUGCGAAACAUAUGACAAUUUGUGUCACUGUGGGUGAAAAGAUUGCAUAAUCCUUUUUUAUUUUAGGAUCUAUCACACAAGGAGAAAGUCUUAAUUCCACGAUUUCUACUGGCAAAGAUACAGUUGUAAUUUUCUUUGGAUUUUGAAGAUAGACAAUGGAACAACUUGGCAAAGUUUUGUUUAUAAUUAAUAACAUGUUUUAAUUUACUUUAUUCACAUGCAUUCUAAUAUGUAUAUUUCUAUAAAAUUAUUUAAUAAUUAUGCAUUAUAUAAUUCAUAUCCAAAUAUGAUCACCAAGGGGCCAGUUGUACAUU
Molecule: non-coding RNA, 1403 nt
Organism: Paramuricea clavata
Lineage: Eukaryota; Metazoa; Cnidaria; Anthozoa; Malacalcyonacea; Plexauridae
Source: the annotation of a GenBank genome assembly